Molecule: ribosomal RNA, 402 nt
Filed under: uncultured bacterium
Lineage: Bacteria
Description: bacterial SSU rRNA
Rfam family: Bacterial small subunit ribosomal RNA
Source: RNAcentral
AGUAACGCGUAGAAAUCUACCUAGUAGUGGGGGAUAGCCCAGAGAAAUUUGGAUUAAUACCGCAUACGCCCUACGGGGGAAAGCGGGGGAUCUUCGGACCUCGUGCUAUUAGAUGAGUCUGCGUCGGAUUAGCUUGUUGGUGAGGUAAUGGCUCACCAAGGCGACGAUCCGUAGCUGGUCUGAGAGGAUGACCAGCCACACUGGAACUGAGACACGGUCCAGACUCCUACGGGAGGCAGCAGUGGGGAAUAUUGCACAAUGGGCGCAAGCCUGAUGCAGCCAUGCCGCGUGUGUGAAGAAGGCCUUAGGGUUGUAAAGCACUUUCAGCAGUGAGGAAAGGGGUGUCGUUAAUAGCGCCAUCCUGUGACGUUAACUGCAGAAGAAGGACCGGCUAACUCCGUG